GAUGAACGCUGGCGGCGUGCCUAAUACAUGCAAGUCGAGCGAACAGACGAGGAGCUUGCUCCUCUGACGUUAGCGGCGGACGGGUGAGUAACACGUGGAUAACCUACCUAUAAGACUGGGAUAACUUCGGGAAACCGGAGCUAAUACCGGAUAAUAUAUUGAACCGCAUGGUUCAAUAGUGAAAGACGGUUUUGCUGUCACUUAUAGAUGGAUCCGCGCCGCAUUAGCUAGUUGGUAAGGUAACGGCUUACCAAGGCAACGAUGCGUAGCCGACCUGAGAGGGUGAUCGGCCACACUGGAACUGAGACACGGUCCAGACUCCUACGGGGGGCAGCAGUAGGGAAUCUUCCGCAAUGGGCGAAAGCCUGACGGAGCAACGCCGCGUGAGUGAUGAAGGUCUUCGGAUCGUAAAACUCUGUUAUUAGGGAAGAACAAAUGUGUAAGUAACUAUGCACGUCUUGACGGUACCUAAUCAGAAAGCCACGGCUAACUACGUG
RNAcentral lists this ribosomal RNA (497 nucleotides) under uncultured bacterium. RNAcentral's name for it is "partial 16S ribosomal RNA". It matches the Rfam family "Bacterial small subunit ribosomal RNA", at positions 28 to 507 of the family's 1533-position model. The record is from RNAcentral.